RNAcentral lists this long non-coding RNA (4875 nucleotides) under Sus scrofa (pig). RNAcentral's name for it is "lncRNA (ENSSSCG00015001910.1)". The record is from RNAcentral. Lineage: Eukaryota; Metazoa; Chordata; Mammalia; Artiodactyla; Suidae.
UUUUUUUUUUUUUUUUUUUUUGCUGUAUUUGUGUGUACACAUAUAUGUAUAUAAUAUGUGAAAAACAGAAUUAUGUCAUAUAAACAUUUGUGUAGCCUACUUUUAAAAAUGCAACAGCAUAAUGGCAACUAAACUUUUUUCUAUCUCAGGAAAUACAGCUUGAAGGACUACUGUGCAAACCCUGAAACCAAUAAAGUAACGAUUGUUUCCAAAUUUUGUUAAACAGCAUUGUGAUAAACAUACUUCUGCCUCUUAAACAACAUGAUAAACAUCUCUGUAGGUAAAUCAUUGUUAUCCAGUUCUUGUUCUGCAUAAAAUCCAGUUUGCAUGAUGAACAACAGAGCAUCCAAAAAAGCAAUUGCCAGUGUCCAGAAUAAAAUGAAAACUUAGUAGCAUAUCUCAAUAGGAAAAAAAUUCAGUAGGAUAGAGAGAGAUGCCAAAGUCAAUGUAUAAACAAAGACUUGAAAUUUAAAAGAAGACUUUGGGGAGUUUUCGUUGUGGCUCAGUGGAAACGAGCCCACCUAGUAUUCAUGAGAAUGCAGGUUCGAUCCCUAGCCUUGCUCAGUGGGUUAAGGAUCUGGCAUUGCCAUGACCUGUGGUGUAGGUUGCAGACAUAGCUCGAAUCCCAUGUUGUUGUGGCUGUGGCAUAGGCCGGCAGCUGUAGCUCCUGUUCGACCCCUGACCAGGGAACUUCCAUAUGCCUCAGGUGUGGUCCUAAAAAGCAAAAUAAAUAAAUAAAAAAUAAAAGAAGACUUCAUGAUAAACCUUAAGCUACAUAGCAGGAGAGUAAAAAUGAUUAUAGCCCUUUAAGGAAGCAAUUUGGCAGCAUGCAGAAAGAGCCUAAAAAUUUCAUAUGCCAAAAUAUGAAAAAAUGAUUUACUUGGAUCAGUGUUGUGGGUUGUCUUUUUUCCUUUUGUCUGAUGUUCAAUAUGUUCCAUAUCUUCUAUGUUGAUUAAUUAGUUUUAUGGUGGGAAAGAUAAACGAGUUGUGAUUAAAAAUGAGUAACACCAUAUUNAUAAACUUGAAUUGUGAUUAAAAAUGAGUAACACCAUAUUUGGUUUUCGAUAAUAAUACUACCUGACUCUAAUAUUUAUGGUAAUUGUGGGACUUUAACUAUAAGAACAAAUGACAUCGAGGAAGGAUAUUAGUAGGAUUUUUCUGGAUUGCAGAAUUUGCAGUUGACUGUUCUCAUUCUCUCUUUUUCUUGUCAACUUUUCUACCUUUACCAGUUUAAAAAAAAGUCAUUUAUUUAUGAAUCUUCUAUAAAUACCUUUACUUAUGAAAUACAAACAAAACAAUAAUAAAAGACCUUGUUCUUCUGUCUAACCUUCUAAAAUGUUAAUUGAUUGGCAUUAAACUUGAUUCUCAUUUCUGAUUGGGCUUCCUCUAGUUUCUUGUAAGUCUUGGAAUUUCCACUGAAACUCCUAAUUGCCAAUAUGUUUAGCUGUGUUUUUAGAAGAAAUAUUCUUAUUUGGUAAGAUUUAGAUUAUAGCAGUUAAGGUGUCUGUAGAAGCUCAGCCUAUGUGCCCACAUUUUUAAAUGUUUGUUCUGUUUGGUUGAUUCAUUGCAAUUCAAAUAUAUUGAGUUUGAGUUAUAUUUGAUACCUGAGGCUCUGGCUGCAGUCUCAUCCCCUUCUUCCCUGACCUCUCUACCAUUGACCCCAUCUACCCUUAUCCCAGGGUGACACUCAGCCCAUAUAGCUGAAUUGUAGCAGGAAGCAUUUUGCUUGGUUUCUAGCUGCCUAUUUUUUUUUUUUUUUGAGCCCCUAGAGCUGCAAUAAAACUAUCCUAGAGCCCUCCUAUGAAGCAUUUUUGUUUCACUGAAAUCUAUGAAAACAUUAUUAGAAUUCUGUGAAUUAAGUAUUCUCUGACUUUCUAAGUCAGCUUGAUUUCAACAGUGCCUUCUAGGUUUUAGCAGCUUGCUUUGUUGAUCCACAUUUUCUUAGGAGAGGGGGCUGCACACCUGCAGUUCUUCCAAAGGGCCUUCUUGCACUGAAUUCUUUUUAAGGGAGUUUCCUGUAACUUUCUGCUCAAUAAAAAGUAUAUGUUUUAAGAAAGAAAACUUCAUUUUACCAUAUGAAAAAUGAUUAAUAAUAAUAAAAGUAACAAACUUUGCCUGCCAUUUUGGUUGUGGUGACAGAGGGAGAAAUAAGACAAACGGCCCUUAAAAACAUUUGCCUAAAAGUAUCAUACAUGUGAUACUUUUGGUCAAAGCAAGUGAAAUGGUCACUUAAAGCUGAGUGGAAAUAUAUAGCAAGGAUAUAAAAGAAUGUUAAAUAUUUAUGAAUACUUUGAUGCAUAUGAUCAGCUGAUUAAUUUAAGUAAAAUUGAGUACUUACUGCUUGCUGUUCACUGUUGUAUUACCAUGCCUGCAAUAUGUACAAAAUAGACUAGAUCUCAGAUCUUCUGAAGCCAACAUUCUUAUGAUAGCCCUAUUUUGGAAAUAAACUUCUCAGAAUUAUCAAAAAUUUUCAUCAUGCUUAUGUCUUUUGGCUCCAUAAUUUCACUUCUGGAUUCUACACUAAGGUGAUAGUCUUAAAUAAAAAUUUGUGUAAUGAUAAAUAUUGUAGCUUUGUAAUAUUGAAAAAUUAGCAACCAAUGUCCAGUAAGGAAACAGUGAACUUUUAUGAACUUAGAGAAUAUUAUGCACUCAUCAGUUUGUAUUGAAAACAGUUGUUACAUUUUUAGUGGCAAUUUAGUGACCAUUUUAGCAUCCUGUGAUGAAAUAAAGGUAAUAUAAUUCAUUCUGGGCUUAAGAUGUCCCCAAAUAUGGGUUUAUGUACAGAGGUAUUAGGAGGAUUGAGAGAAACUAGAAGUUUGGAAUUCUGAUAGCAUAACAAGUCAUUCAAAUAGUCAUACCUUGAAGGUAACUGGAAAUAGGGAAUCAGAGAUUGGUUGGAGAUUAGGGCUGAAAACAUUGUUUGUUGAUUAAUUAGUAUAUAAAUGUUAGUUGAACUUGGUAGAUGAGCUACACAAGGAAUGAAUUAAGAGGAAGAAGAAUACAGGCAGAGAAUCAAAGGGGGAUGGUGGUGGCAGAAAGUGUGAAAAGUACCCUGAAGAAAGUGAUGAACAGAACAGAGGGACUGGAGAAUUAGGAAACAGUGCAGUUUUGGGAAAUUUUGAGGUAAGAGUUUUUAAAAGGGAAAGAGAGCUGAGAGGUAGAGGGAGAAGAGAUGGGGUAAUUUCAUUGGUACUUUAAAAUGGGUUUUUUUUUUUUUGGUUAUUUAUUUGUUAAAAUAGAAACAUAUCAUAGAUAUUAUUGAUGGUAAUAAUACCUUUCCAUAAAAAUUGAUCAAAAUUUUUUGUCCAUAUUAAAACUACAUUUAUUAAAAGGCUCAAAUGAUAAAGCAGAAAUAAUUUGCAUCUUAAAUUGUACUCAUACAAAGGAAAUGUACUCAUGCAAGGAAAAUUCAUACAAAGCUUUAUGCUAACCAUGUAGUCAAAAAUGACUUUAUUUACUUACUGAAAAAUAAUUUAUGUCUUUGAAAUUGAAGCAGAUUAAGUUGCCUGAAAGAUUCAAAACAGAAGAAAAUAGGUUUUUUUUUUUUUUUGACUUUUUACGUCCCCAGGCUAGGGGUCUAAUUGGAGCUGCAGCCGCUGGCCUAAUGCCAGAGCCACAGCAACGCAGGAUCCUUAACCCACUGAGCCAGGCCAGGAAUCAAACCCAAAACCUCAUGGUUCCUAGUUGGAUUUAUUAACCACUGAGCCACGAAUGGGAACUCCAGAAAAUAGAUUUUAAAAAUCCUUUAGAUAAAACAUCUGGGGAGUAGGAUUCUAUUUAGCAACUCAGGGAUUUACAUGGUAUAUCUUGAAGCAACUGAAGGACAUGGUGGCCAUUUUUCAUAUGUCACAGUAUUUUGUAUAUUUGCUUUAAGGGACAAAUUAGUGACAUUUUAAGACUUACAAUAACUUCGUGAGAAGAACUAGGGCAUUUGCAACGGGAAAAGUGUAGUUUUGCCAUGUACCAAAAGGUAUGUUAUAAGCUAGUAAAAUGCAGCAGCAUCCUGUAUACAUGGAAGGGCUGCUGUGGCGGUUGUAUCCGUAUGGAUCUCUUUUAUAAUUCUCAAAACCUUCUAGUUUUGAGUGAGUACAGAGAGGGUCCUUAGGCAGGUGGUGCGGUUGGAAUACAUUUAAAUAUUUUGUUGAUGCUUUCUGUGUUCCUGUCCCGCUGUAGAAUCUAACAGCGAGGUUUCUGCAGUGUCCUCCUUUUCUUUCAACACAUUAUUAUUAUGAGAGACUCAGUAUUAAGUUAUAAUUAACAGGAUCUGACUGGGAUCACUGAUAAGGAUGUGGAAAGACUAUUAGGUUUUUAAUUAGGAAAAGACUUAGGUCAGCUCUAUUUCAGCUCAUUUUUGCAAAUGAAGAAUUUGAGACACAGGGUGAUUAACUGUUCUAGUCCUGCAAGAACUUGGCCACUGAACUGCCACUAUUAGGUAUUUCCACUAGUCUCUGCUAUACCUAAUUUUACACUAUCAGGGCUGAAAUGCCAGUGUAACCAGGUAGAGAAUUUUCUCAGGUAUAAGGGCUAACUUGCUGUUGAUAGAGUUUCAGUAACUGCGCAAGUCGGUUACCAAGUACCAUUUGUUAGGUGAGGUGAGAGAGGGAAGAAGGACAGCCCCUCAGGGAGUUCCCGUCCUGGCUCAGUGGUUAACGAAAUGGACUAGGAACCAUGAGGUAGCGGCUUCGAUCCCUGGCCCUGCCCGGUGGGUUGGGGAUUGGGGAUCCAGCGGUGCCAUGAGCUGUGGUGUAGGUCACAGAUGUGGCUCAGAUCACCGUUGCUGUGGCUCUGGUGUAGGCUGGCAGCUACAGCUCCGAUUAGACCCCUAGCCUGGGAACCUCCAUAUUGCCACGGAGCUGCUCAAGAAAUGGCAAAAAG